ACUCCUACGGGAGGCGGCAGUGGGGAAUAUUGGACAAUGGGCGAAAGCCUGAUCCAGCCAUGCCGCAUGAGUGAAGAAGGCCUUUGGGUUGUAAAGCUCUUUUAGUGAGGAAGAUAAUGACGGUACUCACAGAAGAAGUCCUGGCUAACUCCGUGCCAGCAGCCGCGGUAAUACGGAGAGGGCUAGCGUUAUUCGGAAUUAUUGGGCGUAAAGGGCGCGUAGGCUGGUUAAUAAGUUAAAAGUGAAAUCCCGAGGCUUAACCUUGGAAUUGCUUUUAAAACUAUUAAUCUAGAGAUUGAAAGAGGAUAGAGGAAUUCCUGAUGUAGAGGUAAAAUUCGUAAAUAUUAGGAGGAACACCAGUGGCGAAGGCGUCUAUCUGGUUCAAAUCUGACGCUGAAGCGCGAAGGCGUGGGGAGCAAACAGGAUUAGAAACCCGGGUAGUCC
This 444-nucleotide ribosomal RNA is filed under the name Wolbachia endosymbiont of Aedes albopictus. Its description in RNAcentral is "bacterial SSU rRNA". It matches the Rfam family "Bacterial small subunit ribosomal RNA", at positions 335 to 796 of the family's 1533-position model. Lineage: Bacteria; Pseudomonadati; Pseudomonadota; Alphaproteobacteria; Rickettsiales; Anaplasmataceae. The record is from RNAcentral.